UACGUAGGGGGCAAGCGUUAUCCGGAUUUACUGGGUGUAAAGGGAGCGUAGACGGCAAGGCAAGUCUGGAGUGAAAGCCCGGGGCCCAACCCCGGGACUGCUCUGGAAACUGUGGUGCUAGAGUGCAGGAGGGGUGGGCGGAAUUCCUAGUGUAGCGGUGAAAUGCGUAGAUAUUAGGAGGAACACCAGCGGCGAAGGCGGCCCACUGGACUGCGACUGACGUUGAGGCUCGAAGGCGUG
RNAcentral lists this ribosomal RNA (240 nucleotides) under uncultured bacterium. RNAcentral's name for it is "partial 16S ribosomal RNA". It matches the Rfam family "Bacterial small subunit ribosomal RNA", at positions 524 to 763 of the family's 1533-position model. The record is from RNAcentral.